GCUCGCAUGGCGUAGUGGUUAUCGCGUUUCGUUUACACCGAAAAGGUCUCCGGUUCGAUCCCGGAUGUGAGCU
This is a non-coding RNA of Radiomyces spectabilis, 73 nucleotides long. The record is from the annotation of a RefSeq genome assembly. Lineage: Eukaryota; Fungi; Mucoromycota; Mucoromycetes; Mucorales; Radiomycetaceae.